This 5917-nucleotide long non-coding RNA is filed under the name Ananas comosus (pineapple). RNAcentral's name for it is "long non-coding RNA (ACOM_LNC021247)". Lineage: Eukaryota; Viridiplantae; Streptophyta; Magnoliopsida; Poales; Bromeliaceae. The record is from RNAcentral.
CAACACAAAGUAAUACUAGGUAAAACAAGUAGCUCCUGCUAGCACAGUUUCAUUUACAAUGUCUAAUAAAAAAGAAUGGGGCGAGAACCUCACUUGCUGGGAUGGUUAAACAAUGCCCAAAGCAGCAUCGAGAUAAGCAAGGUCAGCUUUUUAAGAUUUCAAUGGAGGUGAGAAGGGCCUUACAAGUCAAGAUACUCCUAAAUUUGAAUAAAGAACACUAUAAGACAACUACCAGCGACCUCUUAUUAGAAGUUAGCACACAAAGACUCUACUGACCAUCUUAGAAAAGUCAGUCUCAUCAAAAUAAUUCAAAUAAUUAUUUAUUCUAAUGAAAUCACUAAAUAUUGUUGAUCUCAUGCAAGUUGAAGACCCCACUAAAAUGAAAACAAGAACGUCAGGAUAGAGAUCUGUUGUUUAACUCAUAGCUACAAAUUACAAGACCAAAAGGCAAAUUGGAAACAAACUGAAUAGAAGACAAAAAACAAAGCAGUGACAAGCAUAGAAAAUUCCUGAAUGCUGCUUCAGCUAGUUGAUUGGCAGCAACAUACUAGAGACACAUAGCAAGAGGAUUUCAACGGAUUGAGGAAACACUACUCUACAAACAAAUUUAUUAUGCAAUAAUAGAUGGGAAGGCUUGGCUAUCUUAUCUCAUUAUAGCAAUCACUAUACUUGUAGAUUCAAACUUAAGAAGAUUAAGACAGCACAGAGAUAGAACUGUCUUACAAAAACUUUUGAAGAAGUGCCAAGCGUAAUAACAUCUCCAUCUGCAAGUUCAACAGGAUCACUCCAAUUUCUAGAUCCAACAUCUGGAUGCUGGACCAACUGAGAGUUCAAGAAUGUUCCGUUUAAGCUACCCAUAUCGACUAGCUCCCAUUUUGAAGUCUGCAAGAAGCCACAUAUUAUAGAUUUCUAAGAACGAAGAGGAUGUAAGAGAAAUACAUUAUAAUUUACUAAAGCAAUUAUAGAAACAUGCCAAUAAGUGAAACAAAAAAAGGGCCACAGGGGAUCCUAUUAGUGGGAACAGAAGAUAUUAUAAAACAAUUAAUCAUAGUUUGCAUCUUCAUGAUCACUAGCCUUGAUCAGUAGAAAUAAUUAUCAAAAAGCUUCCAGGCAUAAGAAACAGCGAAGGGAGUAACAAUAUAAAGCUUACAGCCUUACAUUCAUGUUCCACUUGAUAAGCGCAUGCUUUCCUGAAACCUCAGAGUCCUUCAAUAGCAAAUCACUUGGGGAAACUCUUCCAACGGUCAAUGAAAGCUUUGAAGUAUUUGUCGACUGUCGGGAACAACAAAGCCCGCGAGAGGGACCGGCUAUGACCUCCAAGUCUAGGCUGCUUCCUGCAAUUCUAAACAAAAAUCGUCAAUAACGUGCCAUAUAGAAAGCAAUUUCCUAAAAAGAACCAUAUCUAUGGAAGCAGCUUACGAAGAAAAGGAAUAUCCUUGACUGAAAACAUAUGAUUCCUGCCAUUGUCAUUAAUAGUGUCGACACCAUUGUUUAUGUCUCUUCGUACAUGUCUCAAGUCUUCAAAGCUUGCUACUGCUGCAUUCUUAAGAGUAUAACAAACUCGUGGAUCUUCAGAAGGAUCAUUUGUUACAUCAAGUACCAAACUAUCUGAGCAACAAAACUCACUUUGUCUUACCACAAAAAUUUAGAACAUAACAGGCAUUGACUAUGUAAUAUAGUUCUGUACCUUGACUAAUAUGAGAUUUAGUUGAAUGAACCCUCUUUUUAUUGAUAAAACCACGAGCGCUUGGUGAAGUGUUAUUUUCAUCAAUUUGAAUUCUUGAUUCCUCAACAAAAUUUCUAGCCAAAUCGUAGCUUUGGCCUGGCACAUCAUCCACAUUCUCGGAGAAAAGAGGCCUGUUGAGAUCAUCAGCCUGCAAAGGAAGAAAUAAGACUGAUGAUAGAACUCUGUAUAUUCUGCACUUUUAAUAUUGCAAAUAACUAAUUAGUGGAAACAGGUGCAUAGCAUUUUAUCCAAAAACAGAUAACCGAGGCAGCAAAUAAACUUCCUUGUAUUUUUUAACAUAAUUUUAUAACACCGUGUCUGAUAUUUAAUCUAUUUCAAGGAAAAGCAACAAACAAAGAAAAAGUUGGAAACUCAGAUUUUGCAACCCUUGGUUUGCAUCAACAAAUCUAAGAUUAACAGCAUAAGGCUGACUAACAUAUUUUUAUAGCAAUACCGACAUUCCUCAUACAUAAGUAGAUAACAUUGUGAAUAACUAAUUCAGAAGUUAUGCAAUUGGUAAAAAUCAUUCAACAUUGUGAUCAAAUUGGUCCUGAACCAAGUCAAAGGACAGUUUCGAAUGUAUCAGAGUAGCAAGAACACCGAUAAUGCAUUUUUAUAGAACAACUCCAUUAGUUUGCCCUUUGGUACUAAGCCUCAUACCAACCAUGGCCGAGUCAUUUAGUUUGCCUUUUGGUAUGACAUUAAACUGCAAAUUCACCACACAGUAAAUCAAAAAAGGAACAAAAAGGGACUCCAGAAACAUGUUUAUUGUAAAACUAUUUGAAAAGAUAUGUAGACUAACUAUUCGAAAAGGUCUGUGUAACGAUUUCUUUCAUCAUGUCUCAAAUCGGCUGCAUAUAGAAGUAGGCAAAAGGCCACAAGAAGCACUCUUUAUAGCUAAGCCUUGUCUGAACCGAGCAAAUUGGGUAAUGAUUCAAUUAUCCCCGGUGACACUUGUUGGAGUUUGACAUUCAUCGCAUUCCUUUACCAUCCAAAGUAUGGUAAUGACACCAGCAUUCACCAGUAUAUUCCAGUUCAGAAGUAAAAGAAACUCAUCGAAGACGCUAUCAAGAAGAUGUAGUGAAAAUAAAUUAAGGGACCUGUUGAGCCGAGUAAUGAUGCUCAAAAUUACAAAAUGUCAAGUCCUGGCAUAUGAAAACAGAUUUGCUAGUCAAAUGAUUUUUCGCUGAGACGCAAUAGCCAUCUGGUAUUUUCAGGAAUACAAAGGCCCCGAGAGAAAGCCUCUAUGCUGAACAACAAAAGUCGAAAUAUUAUUUUGAUCAGACAAGCAAAUGUCUUUAAAGAAAUACAGGCUUACAUAAUAACAAACACGAAACGUAGAACCACACCUGCGAGGUUUAUUCACCGGAAAAAGAAAACCCUUUAAUAGCCAGCGAUUUACCACAAAAUCAAAAAGACGAAAAAGACUACAGCUAGAGAUUAACAAAAGAACACAAAAAAAAAAAAAAAAAAAAAAAAAAAAAANAGCAGAAAGAUAGGCGCCGUACGGGCUUUAUAAAUAAAACCGUUAAGUCAGUGACAGAUCGCAUGCUACCAAGUUUUCCAAAAAAAAAAAAAAAAAAAAAAAAAAAAAAAAAAAAAAAAAAAAAAAAAAAAAAAAAAAAAAAAAAAAAAAAAAAAAAAAAAAAAAUUCAUACUCACGUUAUUGAUGGGAGGAGAGGGAGAGGGGCAGUAGGAGUGGGCGAAGAAGCGCCAGGGUCGGCAGGUGAGAACGAAAACGAGGAGGAGGAGGACGACGACGACGACGACGACGAUGAGGGCGGAGACGCCAAUGAGGCUCGGAGCCAUCUCCGUCGAGAGAGAUACCAAAAAGAGAGAAGAGGCGCGAAGGGCCGUUCUGAAAGGGUCGCAUCACCCCUCUUCUUCCUUCGUCCGCCCCACCUCCACCGCGCCCACUCCACAUCCCAUUGCUUCGGCUUUCUUUCUCAUAAUAAUAAUAGACGCAUCGUUUUGGGAACAAGCCGUCCUCGGUUUCAUCCCUUUAUUUAUUAUUAAAAAAUACUAGUCAAAAAAAAAAAGAAAAAAAAAAAAACCUAAAAGAAUUGUAUAAAAUUUUCUAGGCCAAUUUGCAUAAAAAAUUCACUAAUUUUGAGCUUUUAUAAAAAUAGGACACUUUUUUUAAUUUUGCAGAUUCGGACCAAAUUUUUCGCCAUCUGACCAAAAUGCUCCUUGUCUCUAUCCGCCUCACUCAUAUUCGCUCAUAUACAUAUACCACAAAAUACGGUCCCUAGGUGGGCAUUAAUUAAAUACGCCGUAAGCUUGGUUACGCAACCUCCUGCUCAUCGAAAUGCGAACCAAAUCGGCCUCGCUAUUUGCCGGCCCCGGUGUUUGCUGUUCUAUUUUUAGAAAUUAAAUAUAUCAAAACUAUCUGACAAAAACUACACGGCAAGCAAUAGAAAUAAUAGUGCAACGCGAAGAAGCAACGCGAAGGAGCAACACGAAAGAGCAACGCGAAGAUAAAUGGUGCAACAACCCUUCUAAUAGUGCAACUUGCAGGUAGUACUAGUACAAACUCCGCCGCUCACAUAUACAAUACUGGCAUUCAAUUUUCUCCCUCACCAGAGCAACAUCCCACUUCCCCGUAAGGCAGUCAAGCAGUCUUCUUCCCUAACCGUAAGAAGCUUAGAGGAGUUUAUUCCGACACUCGUUUGUAGAGGAGAAGUGGAAGAAGCGUAGGUGAGGAACAUGGCAUUAGGGCCUGGAAGUGGAGGAGGAAGGAGAGGGUUCCGCGAAGGUAGUGGUGCAAAAAAUAGGCUAGAAAUGGUGUAAUAUUCACCUAAUUACUGCAAUAGUUUAAACCAAGUGGUGCAACGAAUCUAUAAUCAAUGCAAAAAUCACUUCCCUUAGGCGUAAUAUUAAAAUAAUUAGUGCAAUAUUUUUUCGCAAAUGGUGCAACGAGUAUUUAACCAGUGCAAUUUUUCUCUGUAUUUGGUGGUAACAUAAAGGUAAUAGUGCAAACAAUACUAUAAAUGGUGUAACCUUGAACAAAACAAUGCAACUUUGUUUGCAAUCAAGUCCCUAAAUGGUAUAACGACGACCAAAAGAGAGGGAGAAUUCUCUUUCUAAUUACUACUAAAAAUUAUAUUUUAACAGUUUCAAAAUGAAGGUAGAUUAGAAAAUAUUUUGAAAAAGAUAUUAGAUUGGCAUAUUCUUUUUCAAAUACGGUUAGACAUGUAAUUCACUUGUAGAAAAAUAGAGAAAAAAAAAUCGCACACAAAAAAAAGGCCAAUUUGCAUAAAAUAUCCAUCGGUUUUGAGUUUUCGCAAAAGUAGGCUGUCUUUUUGAAUUUUGCAAAUUCUGUCCGGAUUCUUAAUAAAGUGGUUAAAAUACCUUUAUUCCUCUUUCUCUUUUCUUUUUGUUUCAUACUCUUCUUUUUUCGUACGACCUGUCUUCUUCCUUCUCGUCAUUUCUUUCUCUCUUUCUCCUCCUACUUUCUUUUCUUUCUCCUCCUCUAGUACCACCCCGACAUUAACAAUGCGCUCCUUUCUCUUACUUUGCCCACACAUCUGCUGAGGCCGGCUCGAAUAUGGUAUAGAUUACGAUGCGGUGGAAUACUUGGCCAUGGAUGGUGACGGCGAUGGCGAUGAGGGUGCCGUAGGUUUGAGGACAACGGAGAGGGAGAGUGGCGAAGGCCGCGGUGGUUGCGGCAAAGAACGAAGGAUGAGGUGUGGAAACAUAAAAGGAUGCGCAAUGUGAAAGAAAAAAAUAAAGAAAUGAAAGAACUGGAGCGAGAAAUUGUCACGCCCCGCGACCGGACCUAUUUGGUCGGUUCGGGCACGUCGAAUAGACACCGAACGGACAACACCUCUCAUGUCCGCCCAAGGCUCAACACAAGUACAAAUCGAGUAGAUAUAUUACACAUGCGGAAACAUACAUACAUACAUACAUACAUGGCUUGCACGGGGGCAAGCAAUAGCCAAAGUGAAAGAUUCUAAACUAACAAUAUACAAGUAACAUGAUCAACUUUUAACCAUAUACAUGCAUUCAACUUAUAAAUUUACAUUCUUUUCUUUAAACAUCAUUUCUUCUCUUUACAUCACAUGAUCUCCCAAAAUAUAGCUUUUCAUUCAAACAUAAGCCCUCUUUACAUUUAACAUAGUUUAAACAACUAUAAUCAUCAAAUACAAAAGAUGAUAUAAAGGGGUAUGCAACUAAGCAAAAUAUGAAACC